RNAcentral lists this ribosomal RNA (274 nucleotides) under uncultured bacterium. RNAcentral describes it as "partial 16S ribosomal RNA". It matches the Rfam family "Bacterial small subunit ribosomal RNA", at positions 523 to 796 of the family's 1533-position model. The record is from RNAcentral.
AUACUGAGGGUGCAAGCGUUAAUCGGAAUUACUGGGCGUUAAGCGCGCGUAGGCGGUUAAAUAAGUCAGAUGUGAAAUCCCUGGGCUCAACCUAGGAACUGCAUCUGAAACUGUUUAACUAGAGUUUUGGAGAGGUAAGUGGAAUUUCCGGUGUAGCGGUGAAAUGCAUAGAGAUCGGAAGGAACACCAGUGGCGAAGGCGACUUACUGGCCAAAAACUGACGCUGAGGUGCGAAAGCGUGGGUAGCGAACAGGAUUAGAAACCCUAGUAGUCC